CAGCCGUAAACUAUGCGCGUUAGGUGUAUCGGUGACCACGAGUUACCGAGGUGCCGAAGGGAAACCGUGAAACGUGCCGCCUGGGAAGUACGGUCGCAAGGCUGAAACUUAAAGGAAUUGGCGGGGGGGCACCACAACAGGUGGAGCCUGCGGUUUAAUUGGACUCAACGCCGGGAAGCUCACCGGAUAGGACAGCAGAAUGAUUGCCGGGCUGAAGACCCUGCAUGACUAGCUGAGAGGAGGUGCAUGGCGUAGACGUCU
RNAcentral lists this ribosomal RNA (261 nucleotides) under uncultured archaeon. RNAcentral's name for it is "partial 16S ribosomal RNA". It matches the Rfam family "Archaeal small subunit ribosomal RNA", at positions 748 to 1009 of the family's 1478-position model. The record is from RNAcentral.